Molecule: ribosomal RNA, 398 nt
Filed under: uncultured bacterium
Lineage: Bacteria
Description: bacterial SSU rRNA
Rfam family: Bacterial small subunit ribosomal RNA
Source: RNAcentral
AUUGAACGCUGGCGGCAUGCCUUACACAUGCAAGUCGAACGGCAGCACGGGAGCAAUCCUGGUGGCGAGUGGCGAACGGGUGAGUAAUAUAUCGGAACGUGCCCAGUCGUGGGGAUAACGUAGCGAAAGCUACGCUAAUACCGCAUACGAUCUAUGGAUGAAAGCGGGGGAUCGCAAGACCUCGCGCGAUUGGAGCGGCCGAUAUCAGAUUAGGUAGUUGGUGAGGUAAAGGCUCACCAAGCCGACGAUCUGUAGCUGGUCUGAGAGGACGACCAGCCACACUGGGACUGAGACACGGCCCAGACUCCUACGGAGGCAGCAGUGGGGAAUUUUGGACAAUGGGCGCAAGCCUGAUCCAGCAAUGCCGCGUGCAGGAUGAAGGCCUUCGGUUGUAACGU